GAAAUGCGAUACGUAAUGUGAAUUGCAGACCGUGAAUCAUCUAAUCUUUGAACGCAUAUUGCGCUCCCUGGUAUUCCGGAGAGCAUGCCUGUUUGAGAAUCGACAAACAACAUCAACCCUUUGGGAAGUACAAUUGUAUCAACAUUGGGAUGGACUUGGGCGGUUAUCGUCACUGAUAACGUCUGUAAAAUAGCGUCGACCUUGGCUUCAUUGUUACUUGGAACGUAUUUACUUGGUGUUUCACAUCAUUAACUUGCGGCUAACCAAUUAACAGCUAAUGACUUCAAGGGCGACUAAACUCGUAUGAGACCCACACUUUACCGUGUUAAACUUGGUCUCAAAUCAGGCAAGAGUACCCGCUGAACUUAA
This 369-nucleotide unclassified non-coding RNA is filed under the name uncultured fungus. RNAcentral's name for it is "sequence contains ITS1". The stretch from base 1 to 102 matches the Rfam family "5.8S ribosomal RNA", at positions 50 to 154 of the family's 154-position model. The record is from RNAcentral. Lineage: Eukaryota; Fungi.